CCUACGGGUGGCGGCAGUGGGGAAUAUUGGACAAUGGGGGCAACCCUGAUCCAGCCAUGCCGCGUGUGUGAAGAAGGCCCUCGGGUUGUAAAGCACUUUCAGUGAGGAAGAACGCCUGGUGGUUAAUACCCAUCAGGAAAGACAUCACUCACAGAAGAAGCACCGGCUAACUCCGUGCCAGCAGCCGCGGUAAUACGGAGGGUGCGAGCGUUAAUCGGAAUUACUGGGCGUAAAGCGCGCGUAGGUGGCUUGAUAAGCCGGUUGUGAAAGCCCCGGGCUCAACCUGGGAACGGCAUCCGGAACUGUCAAGCUAGAGUGCAGGAGAGGAAGGUAGAAUUCCCGGUGUAGCGGUGAAAUGCGUAGAGAUCGGGAGGAAUACCAGUGGCGAAGGCGGCCUUCUGGACUGACACUGACACUGAGGUGCGAAAGCGUGGGUAGCAAACAGGAUUAGAUACCCGGGUAGUC
This 465-nucleotide ribosomal RNA is filed under the name Vreelandella stevensii. RNAcentral describes it as "partial 16S ribosomal RNA". It matches the Rfam family "Bacterial small subunit ribosomal RNA", at positions 338 to 795 of the family's 1533-position model. The record is from RNAcentral. Lineage: Bacteria; Pseudomonadati; Pseudomonadota; Gammaproteobacteria; Oceanospirillales; Halomonadaceae.